Molecule: ribosomal RNA, 445 nt
Filed under: uncultured bacterium
Lineage: Bacteria
Description: bacterial SSU rRNA
Rfam family: Bacterial small subunit ribosomal RNA
Source: RNAcentral
GUAGGGAAUAUUGGGCAAUGGAUGCAAGUCUGACCCAGCCAUGCCGCGUGGAGGAAGAAGGUCCUCUGGAUUGUAAACUCCUUUUUUGGGGGAAGAAUAGUUCUCUUGCGAGGGAAUGUGACGGUACCCUAAGAAUAAGCCACGGCUAACUACGUGCCAGCAGCCGCGGUAAUACGUAGGUGGCAAGCGUUGUCCGGAUUUAUUGGGUUUAAAGGGUGCGUAGGUGGUUUGAUAAGUCAGUGGUGAAAGCUGGUUGCUCAACAAUCAAGUUGCCAUUGAUACUGUCGGACUUGAGAGAAGUGGAGGUUCAUGGAAUGGAUGGUGUAGCGGUGAAAUGCAUAGAUAUCAUCCAGAACGUCGAUUGCGAAGGCAGUGGGCUGUACUUUAUCUGACACUGAGGCACGAAAGUGUGGGGAUCAAACAGGAUUAGAUACCCUGGUAGUCC